CGUAUACGCCCUCCGUCCGAUAUUACUUGUCAUAAAAAUGGUUAUAAAUAAAUAUAUCUAGAACUAAAAUACAUCUAGAUACAUUUAUUCCUACGAUAAGUAUUUUCGGACGGAGGGGUAGAUU
Hordeum vulgare subsp. vulgare (domesticated barley) is the source of this 124-nucleotide non-coding RNA. Lineage: Eukaryota; Viridiplantae; Streptophyta; Magnoliopsida; Poales; Poaceae. The record is from Rfam.